This is a long non-coding RNA of Mercenaria mercenaria, 323 nucleotides long. RefSeq lists it as uncharacterized. The record is from RefSeq and is a predicted model, not a curated record. NCBI's taxonomy places the organism in Eukaryota, Metazoa, Mollusca, Bivalvia, Venerida, Veneridae. The transcript has 2 exons.
ACGGACUGACGCACGCACGCACGCACGGACGACGGACGACGGACACCGCGCGAUCACAAAAGCUCACCUUGUCACUUUGUGACAGGUGAGCUAAAAAUGUAAAUACAAAGAUUGGAUGUUGUUCCUUGUGCAUUUAUAAGGGUAUAAGCCACACUGGGACUUCUCACAAAUCAUCAAAGAAUUGCUGGCAUGGAAGUCCCAAUGUGGUUUAUACCCAUAUAUACCGUACCCAUAUAAACACACAGAAUACACUGGGACUUCCGGAAUUUCAUACAAGAAGCCCUAUUGUUGAAGUCCACAUGUGACUUAUACCUUUAUAAACA